AUUGAACGCUGGCGGCAUGCUUUACACAUGCAAGUCGAACGGUAACAGGCCUUCGGGUGCUGACGAGUGGCGAACGGGUGAGUAAUGCAUCGGAACGUACCCAGAGGUGGGGGAUAACGCAGCGAAAGCUGUGCUAAUACCGCAUGUGAUCUGAGGAUGAAAGCGGGGGACCGAGCAGCAAUGUUUGGCCUCGCGCCUUUGGAGCGGCCGAUGUCGGAUUAGCUAGUUGGUGGGGUAAAGGCCUACCAAGGCGACGAUCCGUAGCUGGUCUGAGAGGACGACCAGCCACACUGGGACUGAGACAAGGCCCAGACUCCUACGGGAGGCAGCAGUGGGGAAUUUUGGACAAUGGGCGCAAGCCUGAUCCAGCAAUGCCGCGUGCGGGAAGAAGGCCUUCGGGUUGUAAACCGCUUUUGGCAGGAACGAAACGGUGUCCGCUAAUACCGGGCGCUAAUGACGGUACCUGCAGAAUAAGCACCGGCUAACUACGUG
This 492-nucleotide ribosomal RNA is filed under the name uncultured bacterium. RNAcentral's name for it is "partial 16S ribosomal RNA". It matches the Rfam family "Bacterial small subunit ribosomal RNA", at positions 29 to 507 of the family's 1533-position model. The record is from RNAcentral.